RNAcentral lists this ribosomal RNA (505 nucleotides) under uncultured bacterium. Its description in RNAcentral is "bacterial SSU rRNA". It matches the Rfam family "Bacterial small subunit ribosomal RNA", at positions 10 to 507 of the family's 1533-position model. The record is from RNAcentral.
AGUUUGAUCAUGGCUCAGAUUGAACGCUGGCGGCAUGCCUUACACAUGCAAGUCGAACGGCAGCACGGGAGCUUGCUCCUGGUGGCGAGUGGCGAACGGGCGAGUAAUACAUCGGAACGUACCCUGAAGUGGGGGAUAACGUAGCGAAAGUUACGCUAAUACCGCAUAUUCUGUGAGCAGGAAAGAGGGGGAUCGCAAGACCUCUUGCUUUAGGAGCGGCCGAUGUCGGAUUAGCUAGUUGGUGAGGUAAAGGCUCACCAAGGCGACGAUCCGUAGCGGGGUCUGAGAGGAUGAUCCGCCACACUGGGACUGAGACACGGCCCAGACUCCUACGGGAGGCAGCAGUGGGGAAUUUUGGACAAUGGGCGCAAGCCUGAUCCAGCCAUGCCGCGUGAGUGAAGAAGGCCUUCGGGUUGUAAAGCUCUUUCGGUGGGGAAGAAAUUGCUUCGGUUAAUACCUGGAGUAGAUGACGGUACCCGCAUAAGAAGCACCGGCUAACUACGUG